Molecule: long non-coding RNA, 714 nt
Filed under: Drosophila guanche
Lineage: Eukaryota; Metazoa; Arthropoda; Insecta; Diptera; Drosophilidae
Source: RNAcentral
GGUAUAGAAAUAAUUCGUGUAGGUGGCAGGCUGUCUAGGGCCAAUGUACCAUUUGACACCAAACACCCCAUGCUUUUACCAAAUAAUCAUAUUGUUGUAAAAUCAUUGUUUGAAUAUACGCAUCGAAGCAACAUGCAUGUCGGAGCACAAGCAUUAUGUGCUUUUGUGCGACAGCGUUUUUGGGUCAUCAAUGCUAGAAAACUAGCUCGCAGCACGAUAAGGAGUUGCAUUGCAUGUUUUCGCCAACGUCCAAUAUUAGCUACGCAAAUUAUGGGUUCCUUACCAGCAAGCCGAGUGCAGCAAGGAGUGAAGGCCUUUGAACGUACUGGACUCGACUACGCUGGACCGCUAUGGAUGCACUUCAACCAAAGAGGACGGCGGCCUAUCAAGGUUUAUCUGUGCGUUUUUGUGUGCUUUUUGAGCAAGGCUUGCCAUCUAGAGCUUGUAUCAGACCUGAGCACCAACGCAUUUAUAGCCGCACUCAAACGAUUUUUUGCUCGGCGUGGGAUCAGCGCAGAGCUGUUCUGUGACAAUGCCACCAAUUUUGUUGGUGCUUCACGGGAGCUGAAGGCAAUAGCGGAUUUGAUCUGGAAUGACAGUGGCAAGCACCAAAUUGUGGAUCAGUGCAGCCAACUCGAUGUCAAUUUCCAUUUUAUCCCACCUCGAUCGCCGCAUUUUGGAGGACUAUGGGAGAGCGCAGUAAAGGUAGCGAAG